AAACUCUCUACUUGAACUGUAUUUGUACCAACAUUCAUACAGCACAAAUUUGCAUCAUGUUUUUCCUGAUUAUGGGACACCAGUCUUGGAAUCUAGCAGCAGCACCCCAGCCAGUGAUAUCACGAAUUGGAGGCGGACACACAGGGGUCUAUUUAUGAAGCAGCGGAUGCUGCUUCCGACCCUCUCCGCUUUGGAAAAAGCCGGUCCUGCAAUAAGGAGUAAGAAGUCCUGCCCAUUCAGAGCUGGUAUCAUCUGACCAGAAAGAAGAUGUUUUUGUAUUGAUAUAUCUUUAUUGAUAUUACAUAAUAGAACACCAUGGUCACACUAAACAAUACAAUGUAAUAUCAAAUAAUCCUUUUAGGACAAAAGUGACCAACAUGUCAUAAAUACAUUAGCAAGUAAGGAUAA
This is a long non-coding RNA of Bombina bombina (fire-bellied toad), 408 nucleotides long. RefSeq lists it as uncharacterized. The record is from RefSeq and is a predicted model, not a curated record. Lineage: Eukaryota; Metazoa; Chordata; Amphibia; Anura; Bombinatoridae. The transcript is spliced from 2 exons.